CGACAGCAUUUGGGGGAUGUAUUAUUGACUACGUCAAUAAAGUUCUAGAUAGAUGAUUGAUAAUGACAGUUUUCUAUCUAUAUGUCUUGACCAAAUCUUGUGCCAGCAGUCGCGGCAAUACAAGGAAGACUAGUGUUAUUCAUCUUUAUUAGGUUUAAAGGGUACCUAGACAGUAUUUCCAGCCCAAAAAGGGUACAGACUUACUAGAGUUUUAUGUGAGAGGUAGAUAUUAGAACCAUUGGAGUAGAGAUAGAAUUUUUUGAUACUAAUGGGACGGAUAACGGCGAAGGCAAGCCUCUAAAUAAUAACUGACGUUGAGGGACGAAGGCUUGGGGAGCGAAUAGGAUUAGAUACCCUAGUAGUCCAAGCAGAGAAUUAUGAAUGUUAUAGAUUAAAUUAUUUGGUGUAUAAAUGAAAGUGUAAGCAUUCCACCUCAAGAGUAAUGCGGCAACGCAGGAACUGAAAUCAUUAGACCGUUUCUGAAACCAGUAGUGAAGUAUGUUAUUUAAUUCGAUGACCCUCGAAAAACCUUACCAUAAUUUGAAUGGUAUCUUUUUUAGGUUUAACGAAGGUGGGCUUAAAAAUGGAUAUUACAAGUGUUGCACGGCUGUCUUCAGUUAAUGUCGUGAGACUUUGGUUAGAUCCAUUAAAUUAACGUAAACCCUUGCUUUAUUUUAUACAUAAAGUAGUUCACCAAUUUAUUGGAUAUGAUAACAGGGAUUAAGACAAGUCAUCAUGACCUUAAUAUUAUGG
Molecule: ribosomal RNA, 753 nt
Filed under: Rachicladosporium inconspicuum
Lineage: Eukaryota; Fungi; Ascomycota; Dothideomycetes; Cladosporiales; Cladosporiaceae
Description: mitochondrial SSU rRNA
Rfam family: Bacterial small subunit ribosomal RNA
Source: RNAcentral